CCUACGGGUGGCUGCAGUGGGGGAUAUUGCACAAUGGGGGAAACCCUGAUGCAGCGACGCCGCGUGUAGGAAGACGGUCCUCGGGAUUGUAAACUACUGUCCCCAGGGACGAAGAUGACGGUACCUGGGGAGGAAGCUCCGCCAAACUACGUGCCAGCAGCCGCGGUAAUACGUAGGGGGCGAGCGUUGUCCGGAAUUACUGGGUGUAAAGGGAGCGUAGGCGGGGAUGCAAGUUGGGUGUAAAAUCUACCGGCUCAACUGGUAGUCGCACUCAAAACUGCAGCUCUUGAGUGAAGUAGAGGUAGGCGGAAUUCCUAGUGUAGCGGUGAAAUGCGUAGAUAUUAGGAGGAACACCAGUGGCGAAGGCGGCCUGCUGGGCUUUUACUGACGCUGAGGCUCGAAAGUGUGGGGAGCAAACAGGAUUAGAUACCCGAGUAGUC
RNAcentral lists this ribosomal RNA (440 nucleotides) under uncultured bacterium. RNAcentral describes it as "partial 16S ribosomal RNA". It matches the Rfam family "Bacterial small subunit ribosomal RNA", at positions 338 to 795 of the family's 1533-position model. The record is from RNAcentral.